This 66-nucleotide transfer RNA is filed under the name Mesalina olivieri. RNAcentral describes it as "tRNA-Thr". It matches the Rfam family "tRNA". Rfam says of the family: Transfer RNA (tRNA) molecules are approximately 80 nucleotides in length. Their secondary structure includes four short double-helical elements and three loops (D, anti-codon, and T loops). Further hydrogen bonds mediate the characteristic L-shaped molecular structure. tRNAs have two regions of fundamental functional importance: the anti-codon, which is responsible for specific mRNA codon recognition, and the 3' end, to which the tRNAs corresponding amino acid is attached (by aminoacyl-tRNA synthetases). tRNAs cope with the degeneracy of the genetic code in two manners: having more than one tRNA (with a specific anti-codon) for a particular amino acid; and 'wobble' base-pairing, i.e. permitting non-standard base-pairing at the 3rd anti-codon position. The record is from RNAcentral. Lineage: Eukaryota; Metazoa; Chordata; Lepidosauria; Squamata; Lacertidae.
GCUCUGGUAGCUUAAGCUCAAAGCACUGGUCUUGUAAAUCAGAGAUAGGAACACUCCUCCAGAACA